ACUCAAAUGAAUAGACGGGGGCCCGCACAAGCGGUGGAGCAUGUUGUUUAAUACGUCACUAACCGUAGAACCUUACCAGGGCUUGACAUCUGCUGACAGCCCAUGAAAGUGGGUUUUCCGAGCAAUCGGACAGCAAGACAGGUGUUGCAUGGCUGUCGUCAGCUCGUGUCGUGAGAUGUUGGGUUAAGUCCCGCAACGAGCGCAACCCUCACCCAUGAAUUCGCAGUUGCCAGCGGAUAAAGCCGGGAACUCUUGGGGAACUGCCCGGGUAACCGGGAGGAAGGUGGGGAUGACGUCAAGUCAGCAUGGCCCUUACGCCCUGGGCUACAGACAUGCUACAAUGGACGGUAAACAAAGGGACCCGAGACCGUGAGGUGGAGGCAAUCUCAAAAAUCCGUCCCCAGUUCAGAUCGCAGGCUGCAACUCGCCUGCGUGAAGUCGGAAUCGCUAGUAACCGCAGAUCAGCGAAGCUGCGGUGAAUACGUUCCCGGGCCUUGUACACACCGCCCGU
RNAcentral lists this ribosomal RNA (511 nucleotides) under uncultured bacterium. RNAcentral describes it as "partial 16S ribosomal RNA". It matches the Rfam family "Bacterial small subunit ribosomal RNA", at positions 899 to 1397 of the family's 1533-position model. The record is from RNAcentral.